AAAAUCUAUGGAGUGAAAUACAAUAGGUAAGAAAUAAAAGAUAAAUUAAGGAAUACAAUAUUUAAAAGAACAACUAAGGAAGCAGAUGUUACAAUAAAAUUAAACAAUCUUGAGUGAAAAUGCAAGAAAGUACUAAACUGGUGCCCAAGGUACAAUAAACGCAAAACAAUUUAGAAGGUGAACAGACCAAAUUAAGGAAAAAGCAGAUAUAUCCUACAGAAGUGUCACACAAACGUGCCUUCAAUUUGAAAUACGAAUUUUUACAAAUAAGAAAAAAUAUGUAUACUUUUGUUUUGCUGUGAAAUGUUUGAACAUAAAACAGAACUCGUGAUUGCAAUCAAACAUGAAAUAGGUUUUUGAAAAUUGAGAGAUGCAUUUUAUAAUAAAGGAAGGGGCAUGCCAAAGAUCAAAGACUACCAAAAGCAACAACUUGCUACCUAAAUAAACGAUUUAGGAUAAAAUGUUGUUGAGACAUCAAUGAAAUUGUAUCAAUGGGCUGCGUGUAUACAUUUCAAGCAAAGAUAUUUUAUAUCAAGAGCCUACAUCUAGACAAGGAUAUCAAUACAUAGAGAGAUUUUAUAUCGAAGAGCAUGAUUGUACUCUCUUCAACAUAACAAAUCUAACCGUCUAAAGCUUUGAAAGCGCCGGUUCUGUGAAAUAUCAAUACAGAGUUAUUCAACCACAUGAUCGUAAAUUUGUGACAUCAGAUUCCCUUUAAAUCUUUUCUUUUAUUAUAUUUCAAGCAAAUAUUCUUGUAUAAAAGAAAUUAGUAGUUAUAUACAACACAUGUGGAGGUUGUACCAAAGAUUAUUACACAAAACAGGGAUAUAAUGGUUUGGAUUGUAUAACUGUACAUUAAAAUAAUUAAUUAAAAAAUAUGUCAACCACAGCACGGUAAUUGUAAUUCCUAUAUAAAUGUUAAAUAAUAAACAAUCAUGAUAAUAGCAACAAAAUUCUCAUGUAUUUCAUAACCUUUCUGUAGAGAUUUCAUUUUAAUUAAUUAAAGUUCGCUCCAAAGAAGCUCUA
Molecule: long non-coding RNA, 1026 nt
Organism: Pieris brassicae (large cabbage white)
Lineage: Eukaryota; Metazoa; Arthropoda; Insecta; Lepidoptera; Pieridae
Exons: 3
Source: RefSeq, a predicted model, not a curated record